RNAcentral lists this small RNA (72 nucleotides) under Sinorhizobium meliloti 2011. Its description in RNAcentral is "putative ncRNA". The record is from RNAcentral. Lineage: Bacteria; Pseudomonadati; Pseudomonadota; Alphaproteobacteria; Hyphomicrobiales; Rhizobiaceae.
AAUACGAUCAUCGAAACAGCGAAGUGAUCGAGCUUCCGAAAACGCCCGGCGGCACGCGCCGUCGGGAUUACU